This 549-nucleotide unclassified non-coding RNA is filed under the name Hevea brasiliensis (rubber tree). The record is from RNAcentral. Lineage: Eukaryota; Viridiplantae; Streptophyta; Magnoliopsida; Malpighiales; Euphorbiaceae.
CAAUUUGAAGCUUGGAGGGAUUCAUUGGAGACUGUUCCUACCAUCAAGAAAUUGAGAGCUUAUGCUGAAAGGAUCAGAGCUGCAGAGCUAGAUAAAUGCCUUUCAAAAAUGGGCGAGGAUAUCCCGAAGAAAACAAGGAGAGCCGUGGAUGAUCUUAGCCGUGGUAUAGUUAACAAGCUCCUUCAUGGUCCAAUGCAGCACCUGAGAUGUGAUGGCAGUGACAGCCGAACUCUAAGUGAAACCCUUGAGAACAUGCAUGCUCUUAACAGAAUGUUUAGCCUUGUAGCAGUGCUGGAACAAAAGCUUCGAGCCAAAACCAGCCAGAAGUAAGCUACGUUAUAAAUUCACUACAUGACACUUCACUCCAAAUUCAAUAAAGAGGAAAACUGUGUUCUCACCAUUGUAGCCUUUAAUAUAGUUGUCAAAGUAUGGGUCCCUGAGGGGGAUCCUUGAAUUCAUUUAUCUUAUGUAAGACGGUCUUUCUAACUUGCAUUUGGGUUCAAUCACGUAUAUCCUGUGUCUUGGUAACAAUUCAUCUUUCUAGGUUAC